CCGCUGAACUUAAGCAUAUCAAUAAGCGGAGGAAAAGAAACUAACAAGGAUUCCCCUAGUAACUGCGAGUGAAGCGGGAAAAGCUCAAAUUUAAAAUCUGACGGUCGUUUUCGGCUGUCCGAGUUGUAAUCUAGAGAAGUGUCUACCCGCGCUGGACCGUGUACAAGUCUCCUGGAAUGGAGCAUCAUAGAGGGUGAGAAUCCCGUCUUUGACAUGGACUACCAGGGCUUUGUGGUGCGCUCUCGAAGAGUCGAGUUGUUUGGGAAUGCAGCUCAAAAUGGGUGGUAAAUGCCAUCUAAAGCUAAAUAUUGGCGAGAGACCGAUAGCGAACAAGUACCGUGAGGGAAAGAUGAAAAGAACUUUGGAAAGAGAGUUAAACAGUACGUGAAAUUGCUGAAAGGGAAACGCUUGAAGUCAGUCGCAUCGACUGGWAAUCAACCUUGCUUUUGCUUGGUGUAUUUUCUGGCUGAUGGGUCAGCAUCAAUUUUGAUCGCUGGAUAAAGGCUCGGGGAAUGUGGCAUCUUAGGAUGUGUUAUAGCCCUUGGUUGCAUACAGCGGUUGGGAUUGAGGAACUCAGCACGCCCGCAAGGGCCGGGUUUUUGGACCACGUUUACGUGCUUAGGAUGCUGGCAUAAUGGCUUUAAUCGACCCGUCUUGAAACACGGACCAAGGAGUCUAACAUGCCUGCGAGUGUUUGGGUGGAAAACCCAUGCGCGCAAUGAAAGUGAAAGGUUGAGAUCCCUGUCGUGGGGAGCAUCGACGCCCAGACCAGACCUUUUGCGACGGAUCUGCGGUAGAGCAUGUAUGUUGGGACCCGAAAGAUGGUGAACUAUGCCUGAAUAGGGUGAAGCCAGAGGAAACUCUGGUGGAGGCUCGUAGCGAUUCUGACGUGCAAAUCGAUCGUCAAAUUUGGGUAUAGGGGCGAAAGACUAAUCGAACCAUCUAGUAGCUGGUUCCUGCCGAAGUUUNCCCUCAGGAUAGCAGNAACUCAUAUCAGAUUUAUGUGGUAA
This 1010-nucleotide ribosomal RNA is filed under the name Mallocybe terrigena. Its description in RNAcentral is "eukaryotic LSU rRNA". It matches the Rfam family "Eukaryotic large subunit ribosomal RNA", at positions 25 to 1011 of the family's 3401-position model. Lineage: Eukaryota; Fungi; Basidiomycota; Agaricomycetes; Agaricales; Inocybaceae. The record is from RNAcentral.